This 492-nucleotide ribosomal RNA is filed under the name uncultured bacterium. RNAcentral describes it as "partial 16S ribosomal RNA". It matches the Rfam family "Bacterial small subunit ribosomal RNA", at positions 29 to 507 of the family's 1533-position model. The record is from RNAcentral.
AGUGAACGCUGGCGGUAGGCCUAACACAUGCAAGUCGAACGGCAGCACAGUAAGAGCUUGCUCUUCCGGGUGGCGAGUGGCGGACGGGUGAGGAAUACAUCGGAAUCUACUUUUUCGUGGGGGAUAACGUAGGGAAACUUACGCUAAUACCGCAUACGACCUACGGGUGAAAGCAGGGGAUCUUCGGACCUUGCGCGAUUGAAUGCGCCGAUGUCGGAUUAGCUAGUUGGCGGGGUAAAGGCCCACCAAGGCGACGAUCCGUAGCUGGUCUGAGAGGAUGAUCAGCCACACUGGAACUGAGACACGGUCCAGACUCCUACGGGAGGCAGCAGUGGGGAAUAUUGGACAAUGGGCGCAAGCCUGAUCCAGCCAUACCGCGUGGGUGAAGAAGGCCUUCGGGUUGUAAAGCCCUUUUGUUGGGAAAGAAAAGCAGCAGGUUAAUACCCCGCUGUUCUGACGGUACCCAAAGAAUAAGCACCGGCUAACUUCGUG